AAGCAAGCGAGAGUGGUCUAGUAGAGAGGGAUGAGAUCGCGAGCGUGGUUAAGCGUUUGAUGGAAGGGGAAGAAGGGAAGAGAUUGCGGAAGAGGGCAGAGGAGCUCAGACAUGCAGCAGCUUGUUCUCUCGGACAAGAAGGGUCUUCAGUCAGGGCAACGUCGGAUGUGGCCCGUGAAUGGAUGGAUAGGAUAGGAGGGAUUGGAGGGUGUGACGGCAAAAAAAUAAAAAUAAAAAUGGAUAUGAUGGGAGGGUCUGACGAUUCCUAAGCUGCUAUCGCACCUGCUACUUUAUUAGUUAUUUUUGAAUAUCGUAUGGUUAUCGAGAUUCCUGGUUGAAAUGUGAUAUGGUAUUUUAUGGCUCGGUUCCUUAAAAGUAGUGUCCAUCUGGUUUGGCCAACGGAACCACCACCCGAUGCGACAAAACUCUUCGAUAAUGGGCCUGUCUUAGCGCUCAAAAUGUAUAGGUUUCCUCGAAGUCGAAAUUAUUAAGUUGAUGCGGAGGAUCACAACUCUAUACAAAAUCCCUGAGCGUUUUAAUUUAUUGGGAGGUAACUGGUAGGUUAGACCUCUCCUGAGCAUUUGGAUGCAACGUUAAUGUGCAGUUCUCAUCCUGAUCCGCUGCAUAUUUUGAAUCCACCGGCCGAUAGGGCACAUGAUCAUCCUAAGUUUGUGCUACCACCGUUCUACUGAGCGCAUUGGCUCGCAAGAGAGCCCAUUACUUAUGUUCGAUCUGCACCAUCCAUGCCGAUGCAUAUGAGUUAUGUUAAACUUAGUCGAGCAAAGUCCCCAAUGUCAUCUUGCCUCUAAGAUUCGUGGAGAGGACAAGGGCUUGGCCUUAUGGUUCCUCUCUCUCUUCUUUUUUUUNNNNNNNNNNNNNNNNNNNNNNNNNNNNNNNNNNNNNNNNNNNGUUCGAAGUGUCGGGUAACGAAGGAGGCAAUCCAAUCUGCAGCUCCGUUUACCUUCCGAAAUGCAUAUACUGUCUGGAAGGACUCUAUCCUCCUGACUAGUCUACGAGUCUCAUUGAUCAACGGGUGACCAUCCCCAUAUCAGUUCACUCUCCAUAUCCAAUCGAUCACCAUGGAGGAGUCUCCUUAAGGUGGAUCCUCUCUGCUCCAAAAACUCUCAUUGCCUUUGUGGUUUCUUCAUGGGCCAUUCAUUUGGGGAUUUUACGACGCGCUGUGCACGAAGCGCUACACUGAAAUAGCGUCUUGCAAGCAGUCCUGCUGUUGUUUGCGUGGCUACCGUGUGCGGAACAAAAAGAUGAAGGGUGGCUUUGGGGCUCGAAGUAAGCGAGAACUCUCUGGUAUAGAGGGAGAAAUAGAAAGGGGUCAUUGGAAAUGUAAUAGAGGGUGAAAAAGGGAAGAGAGAUUGGGAGGGAGAGUGGUGAUCAGGGAUGCAGCAGUUUGUGCUUUUUGCAAGUGAGGAUCCUCAGCCUAAGCAGUGUCGGAGAUAGGCGGCGACUGGCGAGUGAAUGCACGAAAAGGGCCAGAGGAAGUGAUUCUUGAGCUGGUAUUGCAAAUUAUAAUCGAAUAUUAGGUUAACGUUAAGGUCUCCUGAUUGUAUAUGUUAUGCUGGUAUUUUGUUGCUGUGGUUCUCACCUUUGCCAAUUCUAUUAACAUGCAGUUGGACGGUCCGGAGAUGGAGAGCUAUAACUAAAGUUGGACGAACCAUCCGGUUUGGGAUGUACCAAACCGAACCAUGAAAAAUUAGGACAGUUCGCUCGAUUGAUUUGGAUCCAUUGGAUUAAAUAUUUGAAAAGAUGUCCACCGUAUUAGGGUCCAUUUGACUAAAAAAAUUGCUUAAAAAGUCCUUGCACCACCGGCUCGAUCAUUUGAGAAACCCACGUGAUUGCCACUCACCUAUGCAAUCGGCUCGAAGCACCUUCCCACCCCUUCUCACACUUGGAGCAAAUCCCCCUCACUUGCAACAUCACCGGUAAGGAUCCUCUCUCUCUCGUUCUCCUCCCACUCCCUUUCUCUCUCCCUCCCUCCUUACUAGGUUAGGGUCAGGUUGUAAUCCUCCCCUUUCUUUCUCUCUUCCUCGCUUACUCUCUCCUCCUCUCUUCUUCUCAUUUUCUCCCUCUCCCCCCUUGUCUCUUUGUUUUCCAUUCACCUUGAAUCGGUAGCCUAUAUGUCCGGCAAAUCUUGCCUAUAACUCUCUCUUUCCCAUCAUCAUCCUAAAUAACGGGCCCAUGGUAUCAAACCCACCCACGCUUAAUCUAACCAUUCAUGCCUCAUAGACAAGUAAUCAGCACGCCUUCAAGGCCCCGACGAAAAAGUCACUGCAAUUUUGGCAUGCAUAAAUGGACUUGGAUGGCUAAUUAACAUUUGUCUUCAUUAUCCAUCUUGUUUAUUUGAACUGGCCGUGAACCACAGAUUAAUAAUAAUAAUAAUAUGAUAUUUUUGCAUGAAUAUUCUUCUAAAUAUCAAAUUUUGUAUGGAUACUCUUUCAAACUUGAUAUUUGCACGUAUACCCUAAUAAAAAAGUUGUUUUGCUGCUUUAGUCAUUUUUUUUAUCCUUGUUUUUGUAUAUAUACAUGAGCUAUCUAACGCUACUAAAAAAUUUAUAAUUUCAAAUUAAAAUAAUUAAAAUAUUUUUAAUAGGUAGAUAUGAAAUGAAAAAAAAAGAAGAAAAAAGAAAAAAAAGAAGCUGUUUGCAAUGCAUGACCAAGCCUAUCUUGGUGUAAUUGAGCUUGCCGGCUCAGGAUCAAGCCUAGUAAAGAUUGGGCCGAACCCAAGAUCACAUCAUUUGGGUCUGUGAAGGUACAACAUACGGAAGUUUGAGAAGCCCUCGAAACCCCGGAGCAAAAGGUGGCCGAUUGGGAGGCGAGUUGGGAAUAGCAACUUUGACCCCCACGCGGGGCGUGGUGAGGGUUGGGGUCAAAAGUCCUUGGAUCUGGUCGGCAACGACGGUUUUGGUGCCUCUGAUGUGCUCCGGCGGUGGUGGCCGAACUUCGGAGCCAGCGAUUGAUGGAGUUUUCUCCGAUCUUCUCCAGCAUCGGUGGCCGGCAACAUCGCUCGGCAAGGAAGAAGAUGAGACGUUUCUUGACGAAGAAGACGCGUCCUUCCAUGGAAGACGCGUGUCUUUCGGAGGGCCGAUUUCAACAUCCCGCACAACGGAUUUUUUUUUUUCCGGGCUUAUGCAUGUACCAGUGGGCUUUGGGCCUAUUCGUUGGUCCAUCUAUAAGGGCUUCUGCUUGAAGUCGUGGGGCUCCGCCCUUCCGUCGUGAGAGGAAGGUGAGAAAGGCCUUAGAAGGCAGCUGUGGCCUAGUUAGGCCGUUCUACAAUUAAAAAGAUCGUGUCAAUUCAAUUAGCAGAUGACUUAAUGUAGCUUUUCUUCUAUGUAAUUUUUUACGUAUGGUAUUGCUGUCGGCUUUGUUAUUAGCAUAAAUGGUUCCAAGAGACACUUCUUGGCUUCGCCCGUUAUUUAAUUAGGGAAAUGCCUCUGGACUCUUCUGUGCACAUCAAUCAGAGACUCUGAGCAUGCCAGGCUUGUUGGAUCCAACAAUGAAUGUGGAUAUGUUGGCAAGUAAUAUAAACCGUCGGUACCUUCUGUAUGCUACGUAGCCAAAUGGUACUCAAGUCACAUAUAUUUUAAUUGGAUUCAAGGCUGGCUUCAUGCACUGGGUAUGUGAGAUGCAUAAGUUCUUAGUAAAAAAUCAGCUAUUAUCCCCUAAGUGUUCAUAGAUUUUUCUCCUAUUUCCAUGACACUAAAGAUACCCGCACAUUAGUUAGUACCUUCUCUAUUUCACUAUUUCUUAAAAAACAUUAUUUCUUCAAAUCAAAAUGAACAAAGGAUGAAUCAAAAGGAUGCGUUUAUAACAUAUAAAAGUGCUCAAGAAGAACAUUGAACAUCUUAUCUUAUCAUGCAUACUUUGUAUCCCAGGAUACACCACUGAUAUGGUGCGAAUGGUAUAGGAUAUUAUUUUCUUUCUAGGAACAGUUGAGUUGGGAUCUUCUCGGAUAUGGAUUAAACAGGAGAGGUCCAGCUCCUAGUUAUCAACCAUUCAUAUACUAUAAAAUGACAUAAUUUGGUGAGACCUGUGAUAUAUCUACCCGUAAUUUAUCCUUGGUUUUCUCAAUCAUCCAUGGAACUACAGGACAUCGAGAAUUAGCGGUCGGAAACUAAACCUUUCUGUUUUAAUUCUGAACUAGAAAAUAUUACCCAUUUGGUAUUUCGGAGAAGGAAAUGCUGUCCAUUGGAAUUAGAAUAGCUUCAUGGUGCGUCACAUCACAAACCCAUGAAGCCAUUUUUUUUUUUUUGGCUUCUUCUCUGUUUUGUUCUGUUCCUCUCUGCCUUACUCUGUAAAAUUUCGUUCGAUUUUGCUUGUCAAUGAUAAUAAAACACGAGCAGAAAAUCGAAGAAGUACAUGCAGCCGUACUGCCAGCUUUGAGUGGAGAUUCUUUCCAUCAGGCAAGAACUUUGGGGGAACGGGGAUAGAGAGGAUAACCUUCCAUCGGAGUGUAUCCUUCUCUUUUUGGAUUAAGCUUCAGGCUGUUUCCUUUUCGAAAAGAACCAUAGACACCCGCAAAUUUCAANNNNNNNNNNNNNNNNNNNNNNNNNNNNNNNNNNNNNNNNNNNNNNNNNNNNNNNNNNAUACAUAUAUAUAUAUAUAUGACUAAAAAAAUAGGAAUGAGUGAAGGAUAAUAAUUAAGUCGCUGGUACAUAAUACCAGCUCGUAACUUGAUCAACUCAACCAAUUAGCAUCUCAAACUUUUAGCAUUCUAGGUUUUAAUACCAUAUCCGUUCCUACUCAUCUACCCAAGCAAAUCAUGCAAGACAGGUUUAUUAUUUCUAGCCAAGAAAUCAGUUAAAAUUCUCCUUUGAAGGCCAGUCAUCUUAUUUGCACGAUAUGUCUGUAUCCUAGUUGAAGUUAGUCUUCUUAUCUAAGUUAUUGCCCUAACUUAACAUGAUUCUCCAUGUUGGGCCACUUAUGCAUUCAUUUCCCUGUUUUUGGUUCAAUGCUGUAUAGGAGAUGGGGCGUACUAUCACUGGCCUACAUUGGCCAGACUGACGUUAUUGAGCUUAGAACAUAUUGGCCCUAGCCAGUGUAUGUACCUGCUAAAUCUUAAUCCAUUUUUUAAUGCUACAGGCUUUUAAUAAAUUACACGUAUAUAUUGAAGUUACACAAGAAAACCGAAUAUAAAUUAUGCUUAUCGGUCAAUAUAGACACAAUAUUUUUUUCACAUGGAAAAUAACGCCAUUUUGGAUGGGUUAGGGGUUGAGAACACACUUCCUACCACAAAAUAUUUGGAGGUGCAUUUAUCGAGAGAGAAACAGAUUAUGGUCUUUUUUUUCGUGGCUCACCAUUCGAGUCUUGUACUUUUGGACCAACUUGAUGCUUGCUCCAAAAUAAAAUUUUAGAAUAGGUUAUUUUUUGAUUUUUUUAGAUAUAUACUUACUAAAAUAUAGUACGAAUUUCUAGUUUUAUCGCUCAAAUAAAAAAAAAAACUGACACUAUUGAUGGCCAUUGGCUACCAUCCCAUCUGCUCUAAACGGCCAUCGUUCACGCGUUCUCGGUGCCCGUUACUCUAGAAAGCAGAAAAUAACACGAUCCUCUGCGCCAUCCAUGUGCGGCGGCGUUUCCGCAAUUCAUGCCGGUGAAAACGUUUUUCUCGAAAAGAAGAACCAUUUGCAGCAUAGUUAUUAAAUACCACUGCUACGAAAUCGGCCGGUUGGACCAAAAUCUACAUUAAAAAAUAUAAAAAUUUUUUAGCAUAAUAGAAUAUGCAUAACUAUUUUGAUAAAUUUUGAACUGUUUUUUAAUUAUAAUAUAAGCAGAAAAAUCAGGGAUCAUUUAAAAAUUUAAUUUUUUAAAUCUAAAAAAUAUAUAUAUUGCAAAAAAGUUAUAAUUAUUGAUAAAUUUUAUAUUAUAAAUAAUAAAGUUUUAAAAAUAUCCAAAAGACAAAAUGAGCAGCAUAUAUAUAUUUCAUUAUCCACCGAAGGAAGAAUUGAUUAAUUACUUUUAUGUAAAUAACUAAGUAUGGACCAUCAAAAUCUAUUUAAAAUAACUUCAGCUAGUGACGUAAAAUACCGUCGAGUGAUAGUGCGUUCUUAGCCCUGCCCGCUUCACCAAAUUUUAGAUCCAAUCAAUAGGUUUGGUCUGUGUUUAAUAAAUCUGCAUGCCAGCUCAAGCCAGAGCGGGUCUUCGCAUGCAACAAUGUUAGAGAUGGAGUGAUAGUUUUUGACCUCAUAUCCCAAGUAUCAUUAUUCAUUAGUUGUGAUUCAUGAUAUUUAGGCUGGCAUUUGGAUUCCAAAUUGCAACUUGGAAUGUGAGGUUGAUGUGUUAUUACUGUGUUUCUUAAAAUAAGGUUCAUUUAGCUUGUUUACUACGGAAUAGGGCAAGUUCCAAGUCUUUGUUUUUGUUCUUUUUAAUUUCGUGGUAGCUGAAGUCGUUGCUUUAUUUUAUAAGUCCAACCACUCCGACACAAGUUCAGCUGGUCAUGAUGCAUGGAUAUUUGUUUCUCGAAGUUGUCGAGUUGAUAUACGGGUCACAAGUUACAAUGCAUAAGCUCUGAUUGUUUGAUUCAUUAAAGCUCAUUUUUCUCCUGUUCGAGUUGUUUUAGAGUAUUUUAGUCUUCCGGCAAGGCUGGACCUUUUCAACUCGAUCUUUAAUUAGAAAGAAUACAAUUUCCGUUUAAAGUUCACCAAAAUUUGACUUGUUAGAGAGUAGGUAAUUUCAUCACUCUUUAUGUCAUCAAUAUAUUUUUUAUUAUUUUUUGGAGCCACAUCGAGAAAAAUUUGGUACAAAAUUAAAAUAAAAAUAAAAUCAAACCAGCGUAUUCUAUGUCAACCCAAGGAAUUAGCAUCAUCAAUAGAGAACAUUCAAUUCUCAAUUCGAUUCAUUGCAAAAUAGCGAGAGCAUGAAUUAUUUAAAAUUUCUGUAAAUAGGGCACAUGAUUAUCUUGAUUACUCUCAUGUUUGUUUUAUCGGACUCAUUAGCUCAAACAAGCUCCAAUUUGGCCCAAUUAAUCCCCAUCAUUCAUGGUUGACUGAUAAGUAAUCUGCCUUCAAGUCACCAAAGCAUCAUUGUCAUUGAAUUAGGUACAUGAAUGGGCUCACAUUAAUUGGACAGUUUCUUAGCCUCCACUUCGUCUGCUCAUCUUGGUUGCCUAAACUAAUGGGCAUUUGGUGGUUCACAUAUAUCAUGCUAAAAAAAUAUUUAAAUACUUAUCACGUAUCAUAAAAAAAGAAAAGAUCCUUGCUCAUUAAAUUUCUUCUGUUCAUGGCAUAUUGAAUAUGCUAUGGAUGUCGCAAAAGCGAUGGAUGGCUUAUCUUUUCUCAUGUCAGAAACGCCUGCUCAUUUGCGAAUUUCCCGCACAUAAUUACAAAGACGACAAAAUAAAACCAUUAAUAGUUUAAUUGCAUUCGUUUCCUACAGCAAUCCGCUCCGGUUAAUAUAUAGUGAACAUAUAGAUCGCCACCCCCAACCAACCCCAGGCAAGACCAGGUCCAGUUUACCCCAUGGAAGAACCCCGGCCUCCCCGCAUUGCCCUCCUCUCUAGCCCCGGCCUGGGCCACAUCAUUCCCUUCGCCGAGCUAGCCCGUCACCUCGUCCUCCGCCAGCGCAUCGCCGUCACCCUCAUCACCCACCCCGCCGAACCCUCCGCCGCCGUCGACCGGGCUCUCUUCAACAACCUGCCCGACGAAGUCGACACCGUCUGCCUCCCCGAAUUCCCGCCGGAGGACUCCUCGAAUGGCACCACCAAACUGGAGACCCGCGUCUUCGAAACUAUAAAGGCCAACUUUCCUCACCUCCGUUCCCUUCUGAGCUCUAUUUCCUCGUCUGCUCCUCUCGCGGCACUCGUCAUCGAUACCUUCUGCAUCGACGCCUUGGACGUGGCCUCCGAGCUUGGCAUCCCGGCCUACCUCUACUUCACUUGCUCAUGCACGGCUCUCUCCUUUCUUUCCACAUCCUUACGCUGGACGCCUCAUUCCAAGGGGAAUACCGGGACCUGCCCGAGCCGGUCCGCCUGCCCGGGCCGGGUGCGUGCCGGUCCGAGGGGAGGAUCUCUUCGAACCGAUACAGGACCGGAGAAACGAGGUAUACAAGUGGUUUGUCCGCGUCCACAAAACGAUUUUACGAAACCAAGGGGAUUCUGGUGAACAGCUUCGAGGAUCUGGAGCCAGAGGCCGUGAAAGGUUUGAAGGAAGCUGACGGUAUGCCUCCGGUCUAUCCGGUUGGGCCGCUGGUCCGGACCGCUCCGGAUGAGGAGCACGAGUGUUUGAGGUGGUUGGACCGGCAGCCGCGUGGGUCCGUUGUCUACGUCUGCUUCGGGAGCGGGGGAACGCUGACAUGCGCUCAGACGAGGGAGCUGGCUUUGGGUCUGGAGAGGAGCGGCCAGAGAUUCCUGUGGGUGGUGAAGAGCCCACAUGAACGUGAGGUUAAUGGCACGUACUUGGGGGACAAGGGGAAUAAAAAUCCCUUGGACUUCUUGCCUGAGGGAUUCCCGGAGAGGACCGAGGGCGUGGGCUUUUUGGUCCCUUCAUGGGCCCCUCAGGUGGCGGUGCUCGGCCACGCCUCCACCGGAGGGUUUAUAUCGCACUGCGGGUGGAACUCGACGCUNNNNNNNNNNNNNNNNNNNNNNNNNNNNNNNNNNNNNNNNNNNNNNNNNNNNNNNNNNNNNNNNNNNNNNNNNNNNNNNNNNNNNNNNNNNNNNNNNNNNNNNNNNNNNNNNNNNNNNNNNNNNNNNNNNNNNNNNNNNNNNNNAAGGCAAGCGAGAGUGGUCUAGUAGAGAGGGAUGAGAUCGCGAGUGUAGUUAAGCGUUUGAUGGAAGGGGAAGAAGGGAAGAGAUUGCGGAAGAGGGCAGAGGAGCUUAGUCAUGCAGCAGCUCGUUCUCUCGGACAAGAAGGGUCUUCAGUCAGGGCAACGUCGGAGGUGGCACGUGAAUGGAUGGAUAGGAGGGCCUGACGAUUCCCAAGCUGCUAUCGCACCUGCUACUUUAUUAGUUAUUUUUGAAUCGUGUGUCGUUAUUGAGAUUCCUGGUUGAAAUGUGAUAUGGUAUUUUAUAGCUCUGUUCCUUAAAAGUAGCGUCCAUUUGGUUGGCUUACAGUAGCAAAAUAAGCACAAGUUGACCAUAAGCAAGCGUGAACUCCAUGCUUGAUUUCGUCAGGCCAACAACCACCCGAUGCGAUCGAGAAAACUCUCCGAUAAUGGACCUGUCUUAGCGCUCAAAAUGUAUAGGUUUCCUCAAAGUCGAAAUUCUUAAGUUGGUGCCGAGGAUCACAACAAUAUACAAAAUCCCUGAGCGUUUUAAUUUAUUGGGAGGUAACUGGUAGGUUAUACCUCUCCUGACCAUUUGGAUGCAACGUUAAUGUGCAGUUCUCAUU
This 9332-nucleotide long non-coding RNA is filed under the name Phoenix dactylifera (date palm). RNAcentral describes it as "long non-coding RNA (PDAC_LNC000902)". The record is from RNAcentral. Lineage: Eukaryota; Viridiplantae; Streptophyta; Magnoliopsida; Arecales; Arecaceae.